AUGUUCAGUGGGAUGAUGAGACAAACACCUGUUUGUUUGCACAGUCUGUAUAAUCUGUACCGUUUUUGCAGAUGGUGCCCUUGCACAGUUCUUUGAGGAGGUGGUGGUGGUUCAUCAUUUGGACACAUCAGGUUUGAACUAUUCAGUGGCCAUCACCAACUGUAAAAUGCCAUAAAUGGAACAAUAUCCUGAGAGGAGCUGCACAGAACCCUUCAGAUGAACCAACUGGCAC
Molecule: long non-coding RNA, 232 nt
Organism: Manacus vitellinus (golden-collared manakin)
Lineage: Eukaryota; Metazoa; Chordata; Aves; Passeriformes; Pipridae
Exons: 3
Source: RefSeq, a predicted model, not a curated record